Molecule: unclassified non-coding RNA, 260 nt
Filed under: uncultured Ascomycota
Lineage: Eukaryota; Fungi; Ascomycota
Description: sequence contains ITS2
Source: RNAcentral
AACGCACAUUGCGCCCUUUGGUAUUCCGAAGGGCAUACCUGUUCGAGCGUCAUUUCAUCUCUCAAGCAUGGCUUGGUUUUGGGCGUCUGUCGUUGUCUCCAACGACUCGCCUUAAAGCGAUCGGCUGCCGGCAUAUUGGUCGGGAUGCACACAGUAGAAUCGUGCUGUGUUCCGACGUGUUUUGUCUAUGUAGGCCGUGGCAAAACGUUCUUUUUAUACCGUUUGACCUCGGAUCAGGUAGGAAUACCCGCUGAACUUAA